AUGGACAGGCUUCCCUUCUACCUCCUGCCCCUGGUUUUCUCCACAGGGCUCUGUGCUCCUCCUGUGCUGACCCAGCCCCCAUCAGCUUCUGCGUCCCUGGGAGCCUCGGCCAAGCUCACCUGCACCCUGAGCAGUGAGCACAGAACCUACACCAUUGCGUGGUAUCAGCAACAGCCCGGGAAGGCCCCUCGCUAUUUGAUGUACGUUAGGAGUGAUGGAAGCCACGGCAAGGGGGAUGGGAUCCCCAAUCGCUUCUCGGGCUCCAGCUCUGGGGCUGACCGCUACUUAACCAUCUCCAACCUCCAGCCUGAGGACGAGGCUGACUAUUACUGUAACACAUGGGAUGGCAAUACUAAUACUCACAGUGACACAGACAGAUGGGGAAGUGAGACACAAACCUCCCUCCACAUCUGUGUCACCCAUUCCUCUAGCCCUAGGGGACUAUACAAGAAGCCAUGA
Miniopterus natalensis is the source of this 459-nucleotide non-coding RNA. The record is from the annotation of a RefSeq genome assembly. Lineage: Eukaryota; Metazoa; Chordata; Mammalia; Chiroptera; Miniopteridae.